GCUGGGCAUGGUGGUGCAUGCCUGUAAUCCUAGCUACUCAGGAGGCUGAGGCAGGAGAAUUGCUUGAACCUGGGAGGCGAAGGUUGCAGUGAGCCAAGAUUUGUGCCACUGCACUCCAGCCUGGGUGACAGAGUAAGACUCUGUCUCAA
This 149-nucleotide small RNA is filed under the name Macaca fascicularis (crab-eating macaque). RNAcentral describes it as "Metazoan signal recognition particle RNA (ENSMFAG00000065215.1)". The record is from Rfam by way of RNAcentral. Lineage: Eukaryota; Metazoa; Chordata; Mammalia; Primates; Cercopithecidae.